CCUACGGGAGGCAGCAGUGAGGAAUAUUGGUCAAUGGCCGGAAGGCUGAACCAGCCAAGCCGCGUGAAGGACGAAGGUGCCAAGCAUUGUAAACUUCUUUUGUCAAGGGACAAAAUCAGGCUCGAGAGCCUGACCGAGGGUACUUGAAGAAAAAGCAUCGGCUAACUCCGUGCCAGCAGCCGCGGUAAUACGGAGGAUGCGAGCGUUAUCCGGAUUUAUUGGGUUUAAAGGGUGCGUAGGCGGGCUGUUAAGUCAGCGGUAAAAGCCCGGGGCUCAACCCCGGCGAGCCGUUGAAACUGGGUGUCUUGAGAUGUCGAGAGGUAUGCGGAAUGCGCAGUGUAGCGGUGAAAUGCUUAGAUAUUGCGCAGAACUCCGAUUGCGAAGGCAGCAUACUGGCGGCGAUCUGACGCUGAGGCACGAAAGCGUGGGUAUCGAACAGGAUUAGAUACCCCUGUAGUC
RNAcentral lists this ribosomal RNA (459 nucleotides) under uncultured bacterium. RNAcentral describes it as "partial 16S ribosomal RNA". It matches the Rfam family "Bacterial small subunit ribosomal RNA", at positions 338 to 795 of the family's 1533-position model. The record is from RNAcentral.